GUGAAAUUGUUGAAAGGGAAACGUUUCAAGUCAGUUGCGUUGGCUGGUAAUCAACCUUUGCAAUCUUGCUGGGCUUAUUUUCCAGUCGAUGGGUCAGCAUCAAUUUUGGCCGUCAGACAAAGGCGUUGGGAAUGUGGCAUCUUUGGAUGUGUUAUAGCCCCUCGUCACAUGUGAUGGCUGGGAUUGAGGAACUCAGCAUGCCUUUACUGGUCGGGGCUUUGUGCCCACGUAACAUGCUCAGGAUGCUGGCAUAAUGGCUUGAACCGACCCGUCUUGAAACACGGACCAAGGAGUC
RNAcentral lists this ribosomal RNA (295 nucleotides) under uncultured fungus. RNAcentral describes it as "partial 28S ribosomal RNA". It matches the Rfam family "Eukaryotic large subunit ribosomal RNA", at positions 399 to 675 of the family's 3401-position model. The record is from RNAcentral. Lineage: Eukaryota; Fungi.